ACGCUCGACACCUACGGGAGGCAGCAGUGGGGAAUAUUGGGCAAUGGGCGCAAGCCUGACCCAGCAACGCCGCGUGAAGGAUGAAGGCUUUCGGGUUGUAAACUUCUUUUAUCAGGGACGAAACAAAUGACGGUACCUGAUGAAUAAGCCACGGCUAACUACGUGACAGCAGCCGCGGUAAUCUGACGCGGGCUGGCAAGGC
RNAcentral lists this ribosomal RNA (202 nucleotides) under uncultured bacterium. RNAcentral describes it as "partial 16S ribosomal RNA". It matches the Rfam family "Bacterial small subunit ribosomal RNA", at positions 328 to 538 of the family's 1533-position model. The record is from RNAcentral.